AGUUAUUUUUAUCAAUUUAUAUUGUUAAAAAUUGAUAUAACUAACAGAAUAACCGAAUAGUGAAAUGUGAUAUGCCAUGUGUACAUCAUGUUGAUGUGCAAUGAUCAGUUUUUAACAAUAAAAAUUGAUAUAAUUUUAACA
This is a non-coding RNA of Gossypium hirsutum (cotton), 141 nucleotides long. The record is from Rfam. NCBI's taxonomy places the organism in Eukaryota, Viridiplantae, Streptophyta, Magnoliopsida, Malvales, Malvaceae.